CUGAAGUUCUCACAUACACACAGGCCCAUAUCAGAUAAAAGUGCCCCAGACCUUUCUGAAUCAGGACCAUCAUCAUCUGGCCUGAAGAGAAGUAUAAUACAGAAUUAAAAGAAGACUCUUCAAGUCUCUGUCAUCCCUUAAGAACCCUGAAGCUCUGAUGAUGGGAUUACAUGAAAGUGAAACUUGAGUUUUGCCCAGGUGACUCAAAUGGGACUUGCUCUGGGGCUGGAAAAGAAUAUGUUGGUGAGAAAGAAGACAGAGACACAUGUCGAGUAAACAGCCAGCAGCCUCUGCC
This 295-nucleotide long non-coding RNA is filed under the name Bos mutus (wild yak). RNAcentral describes it as "lncRNA (ENSBMUG00000023133.1)". The record is from RNAcentral. Lineage: Eukaryota; Metazoa; Chordata; Mammalia; Artiodactyla; Bovidae.